AGCUGAUAUUCUGGGAUAGAGUUCGUCUUGAAAAUGAAAUAGAAGUGUUGGAUUCACUUAGUAGCUC
Molecule: transfer RNA, 67 nt
Filed under: Lunella undulata
Lineage: Eukaryota; Metazoa; Mollusca; Gastropoda; Trochida; Turbinidae
Description: tRNA-Ser
Source: RNAcentral